UUGGUUGGCCCAAGAUUUUUAUUUUUCUCUUCUUUGCAUGGGCCAUCAAACCCAUGCAUUUCUUUUUCUUGUGACAGUGUUACAAAUUGCUGGUUUUGUACAGCUUGUGGAAAACGGUUUUGGUUGCCUCAUUUUAACUCGUUUUCUUUAUUUUUAUAUAAACGUUUCUAAACCCUAAUUUAUUCAUCAUAAAUCUCUUAAACCAUAGCCGUCAUUCUUUAUUGAAAAACGCUAAAUUCUAACGCCCAAACUCAUUAUCUUCUUGACUGAAAUCUCGGUAAGUUUCUGAGCUUUGUUCUCAAAUUAGUUUAAAAACCGAUGAUUCCGUUUCCUGAUCAGUUCUUCCUCAAUUUAGCAUCGAAUUGAGAACCGUUUCCUCGCUGCUUCGGAAUCGAUUUCGACCCGUCUACUGUUCGUGCUUCAGAGGCGAACCAGGAUUAGUUGCUUGCCGGUAUUCACGUGGAUUAGCAAGCAGGUUAUGAUCUGAGAGAGUCUGGUGAUCUCCGCAUUUACUUUUCCUCGGAGGUUCCAUUUAUUUUAGUAGAACUGUGAAACUGUUUUAUUCUUAGACCGCAGUAGUAACUAGACGUCUUUAUUAUUAUUAUAUUUUUGUCGGAUUGGU
Molecule: long non-coding RNA, 622 nt
Organism: Mercurialis annua (annual mercury)
Lineage: Eukaryota; Viridiplantae; Streptophyta; Magnoliopsida; Malpighiales; Euphorbiaceae
Exons: 3
Source: RefSeq, a predicted model, not a curated record